This 90-nucleotide transfer RNA is filed under the name Thermostichus vulcanus str. 'Rupite'. Its description in RNAcentral is "tRNA-Ser". It matches the Rfam family "tRNA". From Rfam's summary of the family: Transfer RNA (tRNA) molecules are approximately 80 nucleotides in length. Their secondary structure includes four short double-helical elements and three loops (D, anti-codon, and T loops). The record is from RNAcentral. Lineage: Bacteria; Bacillati; Cyanobacteriota; Cyanophyceae; Thermostichales; Thermostichaceae. RNAcentral also lists the same sequence under 1 other name.
GGAGAGGUGGCUGAGUGGUCGAAAGCGGCUUCCUGCUAAGAAGUUACGGGGUCAAAAGCUCCGUCGAGGGUUCGAAUCCCUCCCUCUCCG